AUUACACAAAUGGUAUAGUUUAGGUAAAGCAUAAAGAAAUUGGUACAUUGUCAUCGUUGUUUGUGCCAUCUGGACCAGAUCUUCUUGAAUUUUUGUGUGGUUCCUCCUAGCCUAUGUGACUUCUCUUCGUAUAUGUGGUUAUUGCGUGACUGAUCCAAGACUUCUGUUCUAGUUGGGGGUUUGGGGGAUUUCUAAGCCGCUGUAAUACUAAAUUUAGCUGAUACUAAAAUCUGCAUUGUCAUACUCCUAUCCAGCUUCCGAAUGUGGUCUGGUAUCAUGUCAAAUGGAAAUACUUCUGGUUUAAGCUGAACAGUGUGCCCUGUACGUGUAUUUUUUUUUGGUCUUACAUAUCUACCCAUAACAGCCCAAUUGUGGACAGUACCAGAAUAUGCGACUUAGGGCCCCUACUUCUUGUUUGCAUCUCCAGCAAGAAGAGAACGUAAUUGUGUAAAUAAUUGAUAGUCGGAGUGGUGUUAGGUACCACCUCAUUAGUAGAUUCCUGCGUGUUUCUACAUGGUUUAACCCCUUAAGGA
This is a non-coding RNA of Pelobates cultripes (western spadefoot toad), 533 nucleotides long. Lineage: Eukaryota; Metazoa; Chordata; Amphibia; Anura; Pelobatidae. The record is from the annotation of a GenBank genome assembly.